This 265-nucleotide small RNA is filed under the name Castor canadensis (American beaver). RNAcentral describes it as "7SK RNA (ENSCCNG00000019981.1)". It matches the Rfam family "7SK RNA", at positions 1 to 257 of the family's 331-position model. From Rfam's summary of the family: 7SK was discovered as an abundant small nuclear RNA in the mid-70s but a possible function has only recently been suggested. The record is from RNAcentral. Lineage: Eukaryota; Metazoa; Chordata; Mammalia; Rodentia; Castoridae.
GGAUCAAUAUGAGGUGACCCUGCCCCUCUCACCCCAUUGGUCACCAGUAUAGUGGCUUAUCUGGCUGGCUACGCAGGUAUCUUCUUCCCUUACUGCUCCAUGUGCAUCCCACCUGAAGCUAAGUUGAAGAAGAUGACCUUUCUCAAGAGAGAAGUACCAUUUUUCAGUCAAGGGUAUGCUAGUAGCUGUGCUUCUCUGCUAGAACUUCCAAACAAACUGACGGCGACGGCUUGAAUUACUUCUACAAUGACAAUGAUUACUGAUU